RNAcentral lists this long non-coding RNA (438 nucleotides) under Mytilus galloprovincialis (Mediterranean mussel). The record is from RNAcentral. Lineage: Eukaryota; Metazoa; Mollusca; Bivalvia; Mytilida; Mytilidae.
UAAAAUUGUUUAUCAGGUCAAGAUCUAUCUGCCCUGAAAUUUUCAGAUGAAUCGGACAACCUGUUGUUGGGUUGCUGCCCCUGAAUUGGUAAUUUUAAGGAAAUUUUGCUGUUUUUGGUUAUUAUCUUGAAUAUUAUUAUAGAUAGAGAUUAAACUGUAAACAGCAAUAAUGUUCAGCAAAGUAAGAUCUACAAAUAAGUCAACAUGACCAAAAUGGUCAGUUGACCCUUUAGGAGUUAUUGCCCUUUAUAGUCAAUUUUUAACCAUUUUUCGUAAAUCUUAGUAAUCUUUUACAAAAAUCUUCUCCUCUGAAACUACUGGGCCAAAUUAAUCCAAACUUAGCCACAAUCAUCUUUGGGGUAUCUAGUUUAAAAAAUGUGUCCGGUGACCCGGCCAACCAACCAAGAUGGCCGCCAUGGCUAAAAAUAGAACAUAGGG